RNAcentral lists this ribosomal RNA (494 nucleotides) under uncultured bacterium. Its description in RNAcentral is "partial 16S ribosomal RNA". It matches the Rfam family "Bacterial small subunit ribosomal RNA", at positions 28 to 507 of the family's 1533-position model. The record is from RNAcentral.
GACGAACGCUGGCGGCGUGCUUAACACAUGCAAGUCGAACGGAAAGGCCUGCUUUCCCUUGUGGAUUGCGGGUACUCGAGUGGCGAACGGGUGAGUAACACGUGAGUGAUCUGCCCCCAACUUGGGUAUAAGCCUGGGAAACUGGGUCUAAUUCCCGAUAGGACUGCAGGGUGGUGCCUGUGGUGGAAGACGAUUUUCUAGUGGUUGGGGAUGAGCUCGCGGCCUAUCAGCUUGUUGGUGGGGUAAUGGCCUACAAAGGCGGCGACGGGUAGCCGGACGGGGGUGGUCGACGGUCACAGUGGGACUGGGAUACGGCCCAGACGCCUACGGGAGGCAGCAGUGGGGAAUAUUGGAGAAUGGGCGGAAGCCUGAUGCAGCGACGCCGCGUGGGGGAUGACGGCCUUCGGGUUGUAAACUCCUUUCGACCGCGAGGAAGCCACGUGGUUGGAAGGGUGGUGACGGUAGUGGUAGAAGAAGCACCGGCUAACUACGUG